RNAcentral lists this ribosomal RNA (207 nucleotides) under uncultured bacterium. RNAcentral describes it as "partial 16S ribosomal RNA". It matches the Rfam family "Bacterial small subunit ribosomal RNA", at positions 568 to 774 of the family's 1533-position model. The record is from RNAcentral.
UGCGUAGGCGGUUUGGUAAGUCAGAUGUGAAAUUCCUGGGCUCAACCGAGGAACUGCAUUUGAUACUGCCAGACUAGAGUACUGGAGAGGAGACUGGAAUUUACGGUGUAGCAGUGAAAUGCGUAGAUAUCGUAAGGAAGGCCAGUGGCGAAGGCGAGUCUCUGGACAGUAACUGACGCCGAGGCACGAAGGCUAGGGGAGCAAACG